AGAUUGAACGCUGGCGGCAGGCCUAACACAUGCAAGUCGAGCGGUAGAGAGGUGCUUGCACCUCUUGAGAGCGGCGGACGGGUGAGUAAAGCCUAGGAAUCUGCCUGGUAGUGGGGGAUAACGCUCGGAAACGGACGCUAAUACCGCAUACGUCCUACGGGAGAAAGCAGGGGACCUUCGGGCCUUGCGCUAUCAGAUGAGCCUAGGUCGGAUUAGCUAGUUGGUGAGGUAAUGGCUCACCAAGGCGACGAUCCGUAACUGGUCUGAGAGGAUGAUCAGUCACACUGGAACUG
RNAcentral lists this ribosomal RNA (293 nucleotides) under uncultured soil bacterium. RNAcentral describes it as "partial 16S ribosomal RNA". It matches the Rfam family "Bacterial small subunit ribosomal RNA", at positions 26 to 321 of the family's 1533-position model. The record is from RNAcentral.